This 507-nucleotide ribosomal RNA is filed under the name uncultured bacterium. Its description in RNAcentral is "partial 16S ribosomal RNA". It matches the Rfam family "Bacterial small subunit ribosomal RNA", at positions 899 to 1397 of the family's 1533-position model. The record is from RNAcentral.
ACUCAAAGGAAUAGACGGGGGCUCACACAAGCGGUGGAGCAUGUGGCUUAAUUCGAAGCAACGCGAAGAACCUGACCUGGGUUUGACAUGCAAGGAUUAGUUCUGUGAAAGCAGAAUGACGCGGCUUGCCGUGGAACUUGCACAGGUGCUGCAUGGCUGUCGUCAGCUCGUGUCGUGAGAUGUCGGGUUAAGUCCCCUAACGAGCGAAACCCUUGUCGCUAGUUGCUAACGGGUAAUGCUGAGCACUUUAGCGAGACUGCCGGUGUUAAACCGGAGGAAGGUGGGGAUGACGUCAAGUCCUCAUGGCCUUUAUGCCCAGGGCUGCACACGUGCUACAAUGGGAUGGUACAAAGCGAUGCGAAGCCGCGAGGCGGAGCAAAUCGCAGAAAACUUCCCUCAGUUCGGAUUGCAGGCUGCAACUCGCCUGCAUGAAGCUGGAAUCGCUAGUAAUCGCGCAUCAGCUAUGGCGCGGUGAAUAUGUUCCUGAGCCUUGUACACACCGCCCGU